This 196-nucleotide ribosomal RNA is filed under the name uncultured bacterium. RNAcentral describes it as "partial 16S ribosomal RNA". The record is from RNAcentral.
AUUACCGCGGCUGCUGGCACGGAGUUAGCCGGUGCUUCUUCUGCGGGUAACGUCAAUCGACAAGGUUAUUAACCUUAUCGCCUUCCUCCCCGCUGAAAGUACUUUACAACCCGAAGGCCUUCUUCAUACACGCGGCAUGGCUGCAUCAGGCUUGCGCCCAUUGUGCAAUAUUCCCCACUGCUGCCUCCCGUAGGAG